GUCCCAGGAUGCUCUGCUUGUUGAGGACUUUCAUCUGCUUUUAGGCUUUGGUUUGGUUUUGUCUUUGUCUCCUCCUAUUCUUUCAGGCUUUUUCACAUUCUUGUCUCUAGACUUCUGAGUUCUUCCUAAAGGUAUUUCUUAUGGGUUGUGAGCUGAACACCAGAUAACCAAGUUUGUUGGAAUUCUAUCUAAAAAUUCACGUCUUUGUCUCAGAUUGUGUGACAUCUUCUUUUAACUUUUCAGAAGUGGUCUAACGUCCUUCCUAGGUCUUGGCAGCGUCAUGCGCACUUGAGCUGGCCAUCUAACUGACUGCCAGAAGUGAGACAUCUCUGAGAUGGUGGAGAGUUCUUCAUGGGUAUGACCAGCUGUCUCCCAGGGCUCCAGAGUGUGAGGUUCGUUUAUACCUUUCGCUGUGUUCUGUCCGCCUUAUCAGUGAGUCCCGGGGUCUCAGCCCACGCUGGCUGUCCCAUGGAGCGGCUGUCAGGAAUUCUUUCUUGUCUUCCCGGCCUGACGUUCUGCCGGAUUUGUGACUCUCGUGGAAGACAGCUACCAUUUAUCUUCCUACAUCUCCAUCUAGAUCCAGAAAGAUUCCCUAAUUUGUCAGAACUCAUUCACAGCCAUCACAAAACUCAGGGCCCAUAGACUGGCAAGGCAAUUUUUUAAAUGUCAAAAGAAAACUUGUCUCGAGGACCAAAAUUAAACUUGAGCAAACUGGCCCGUGAGAUGGAAGCCCUGGGCACUGGCUCUAGUUCGGUUGUGGCUCCUUGGGGGCUGGGGCCAUGCUGGUACCCGAGGGGAAGAUGCCCAGCCCUCUGUGCUUUAGUUUAAUUGAAGUGACGAUUCCUUCUUGUUUAACUCUGAGCUGAGCAGCACUGCAGGAACCCUGAGUACUUGCUAACCUCUGGCCUGUUCAUUGCCCAAGCCCGCUUUAUAGAUUCCUGAGCACAUCCCAGUGGACCAGGGAGGGAAGGCUGAAGUGGACAGGUCAUCCUUGCAGCCACAUCUACCGCUAUGUCCACUGGAACCACAAAUACUUCCACCUUCCAUAUCUUUCCCAGGGUACCUUCAAUCUCACAUCCUUAUGCUGUCAGUAAAUAUGGAAAAAAGAUGAGGGAACUGAAGCCUCUGAAAUGAAGAUGCUUUUCCCAGGGCCACCAGCUGUUGGGUGAUGGAUGCGGUCCUAGAAGCCCCCUCUUCUGCCAACUGGGCACCCACAGCAGCUGGGCUCCAGGGUGGGCGCUGCGAGACAGCCAAGUCCUUUCCACCUCCCUAACUCCUUGUUAUUAUUUAUGUCUGACUUCCAAAUGGUGCUGAUCGGUUGUGCUAAUAUACUCUAAAGAUUUCUGCCCAACUGCAGUCUGGCUGACCUUUCUGUAAUCUUCCUUUGCCAGAUUCUGGGAAAGAUCUAAAGGGAAAUUAACAAUGAUGUUGAGUUUUUUUAAGGUUAAAACCUUGAUUUCAGUUUUCAAAUCACUGCCUUUUUAUUUAAGCUUUGAAAAUUUUCCAGAAUUUCCAGGUUUUUCUUAUAUAGGAAUAUACUGCUU
This is a long non-coding RNA of Bos taurus (domestic cattle), 1544 nucleotides long. NCBI's taxonomy places the organism in Eukaryota, Metazoa, Chordata, Mammalia, Artiodactyla, Bovidae. The record is from Ensembl.